GGGGAUAUAGCUCAGUUGGUAGAGUGCUUGCCUUGCAUGCACAAGGCCCUGGGUUCAAUUCCCAAUUCCACCA
RNAcentral lists this transfer RNA (73 nucleotides) under Ictidomys tridecemlineatus (thirteen-lined ground squirrel). RNAcentral's name for it is "Spermophilus tridecemlineatus (thirteen-lined ground squirrel) tRNA". It matches the Rfam family "tRNA". From Rfam's summary of the family: Transfer RNA (tRNA) molecules are approximately 80 nucleotides in length. Their secondary structure includes four short double-helical elements and three loops (D, anti-codon, and T loops). Lineage: Eukaryota; Metazoa; Chordata; Mammalia; Rodentia; Sciuridae. The record is from Rfam by way of RNAcentral.